AUGGCAAUUUUAGUUGAUAAUUUUUCUAAGUAUCAUAUGAAAUUUUUACUUCAUUUCCAUGGCAAAUUUACUUUUAUUUUCCAUGGCAAAUUUUUAAUUUUUUUUGCGAUGGCAAAUUUUACUCUUUCUUGCCAUGGAAAUUUUACUUUAAUGACAUGGAAAAUUUUACUUCAUUUUGCCAUGGCAAAUUUUACUCUUUCUUUGCCAUGGCAAGUUUUACCCUUUUUUUGCCAUGGCAAAUUUUAUAUCAUUUUUUCAUGGCAAAAUUUUACUCUUUCUUUUGCCAUGGAAAUUUUUACUUUAUUUUGCCAUGGCAAUUUUUACUCUUUUUUUUGCCAUGGCAAUGUUUACUUUUAG
This 357-nucleotide ribosomal RNA is filed under the name Triticum aestivum (bread wheat). RNAcentral describes it as "partial small subunit ribosomal RNA". Lineage: Eukaryota; Viridiplantae; Streptophyta; Magnoliopsida; Poales; Poaceae. The record is from RNAcentral.